CAAUAGCGUAUAUUAAAGUUGUUGCAGUUAAAAAGCUCGUAGUUGGAUUUCUGGUGGGAGCGAUCGGUCUGGCGCUUAGCGCGAGUACUUGCAUCGUCUCCGGCCAUCCUUGGGGAGAGUCUGUCUGGCAUUAGGUUGUCGGGCAGAGGAUCCUCAUCGUUUACUGUGAAAAAAUUAGAGUGUUCAAAGCAGGCUUAUGCCGUUGAAUAUAUUAGCAUGGAAUAAUAAGAUAGGACUUUGGUGGUCUAUUUUGUUGGUUUGCACGCCAAAGUAAUGAUUAAUAGGGAUAGUUGGGGGUAUUCGUAUUCAAUUGUCAGAGGUGAAAUUCUUGGAUUUAUGGAAGACGAACUACUGCGAAAGCAUUUACCAAGGAUGUUUUCAUUAA
RNAcentral lists this ribosomal RNA (385 nucleotides) under uncultured eukaryote. RNAcentral's name for it is "partial 18S ribosomal RNA". It matches the Rfam family "Eukaryotic small subunit ribosomal RNA", at positions 592 to 976 of the family's 1831-position model. The record is from RNAcentral.